RNAcentral lists this ribosomal RNA (218 nucleotides) under Clostridioides difficile. Its description in RNAcentral is "partial 16S ribosomal RNA". It matches the Rfam family "Bacterial small subunit ribosomal RNA", at positions 796 to 1013 of the family's 1533-position model. The record is from RNAcentral. Lineage: Bacteria; Bacillati; Bacillota; Clostridia; Peptostreptococcales; Peptostreptococcaceae.
CACGCUGUAAACGAUGAGUACUAGGUGUCGGGGGUUACCCCCUUCGGUGCCGCAGCUAACGCAUUAAGUCCUCCGCCUGGGAAGUACGCUCGCAAGAGUGAAACUCAAAGGAAUUGACGGGGCCCCGCACAAGUAGCGGAGCAUGUGGUUUAAUUCGAAGCAACGCGAAGAACCUUACCUAAGCUUGACAUCCCAAUGACAUCUCCUUAAUCGGAGAG